AUGCAUCAUCAACAUUACGUUGUUGUCUGUUUUGGCUUCCUCCAACCAAAAAUUAGGUCUUCUUGUCGCAAGCAUCGGAUCCUUCUAAUUUGUUCCCCUCCACGAUAUCCCUCUCUAGCCAUCGCAUCAACUCCCUCUUCAGACGCUUCAUGGAGUGAAUGUGCCAGAAUUUCAUUUUCAUCGGAGGUUUUGUGGCGGAAAAAAUAA
Vicia faba (fava bean) is the source of this 207-nucleotide non-coding RNA. NCBI's taxonomy places the organism in Eukaryota, Viridiplantae, Streptophyta, Magnoliopsida, Fabales, Fabaceae. The record is from the annotation of a GenBank genome assembly.